This 555-nucleotide long non-coding RNA is filed under the name Marmota monax (woodchuck). Lineage: Eukaryota; Metazoa; Chordata; Mammalia; Rodentia; Sciuridae. The record is from RNAcentral.
UGAACAGGCAGGGACUCCACCCUGCACUCAGAGGCUGAGGCUCCAACAGAGCUUGGGAUGGCUAUCCGUGAGGUCCCCUUGAGGAGCAAGACCCCUGACCAGCUUUCCUCGGCCACCUAGGUUGCAACAGGAGCCACACAUUGAGGGGUCUGGCCAGGCUGCUGAGCAGGAAGCUGACUGAAGCAGGAGACCCUGCCUGCCUUGGCUGCCCCCCAGAGCCCAGUCCACCAGACCCAGAACACCUCAGAGACACUGGGCCCCAAGGAAGGAGGAGGUGUGGAAUGUCAUCGAGGAAAUAACGCAGUCACCAAAGCCUUGCUUUGGUUGGGAAGGACUGGGGCUGGAAGAAAGGCCCCGUGAGCACCCCCAGAGUCUCUGCUUGAGUAGUGCCCACCCAGGCCACGAGGGCUUCUCCUUGGUGACAGAAUACACAGCAGCAUAGCCUGUACUCAGUCCUAGUGUACUGGUCGUGGAGUCCCAGGCUCUCAGCCUCCUGUAACCAGCACACAGCAGUAGGAGCAGCCCCUGUCACAACAGACAGGAGACUGAGGCGAA